Molecule: ribosomal RNA, 608 nt
Filed under: Cladosporium variabile
Lineage: Eukaryota; Fungi; Ascomycota; Dothideomycetes; Cladosporiales; Cladosporiaceae
Also listed under: 1 other name
Description: eukaryotic LSU rRNA
Rfam family: Eukaryotic large subunit ribosomal RNA
Source: RNAcentral
GCAUAUCAAUAAGCGGAGGAAAAGAAACCAACAGGGAUUGCUCUAGUAACGGCGAGUGAAGCAGCAAUAGCUCAAAUUUGAAAUCUGGCGUCUUCGGCGUCCGAGUUGUAAUUUGUAGAGGAUGCUUCUGGGCAGCCACCGACCUAAGUUCCUUGGAACAGGACGUCAUAGAGGGUGAGAAUCCCGUAUGCGGUCGGAAAGGCACCCUACACGUAGCUCCUUCGACGAGUCGAGUUGUUUGGGAAUGCAGCUCUAAAUGGGAGGUAAAUUUCUUCUAAAGCUAAAUAUUGGCCAGAGACCGAUAGCGCACAAGUAGAGUGAUCGAAAGAUGAAAAGCACUUUGGAAAGAGAGUUAAAAAGCACGUGAAAUUGUUGAAAGGGAAGGGAUUGCAACCAGACUUGCUCGCGGUGUUCCGCCGGUCUUCUGACCGGUUCACUCGCCGCGUUGCAGGCCAGCAUCGUCUGGUGCCGCUGGAUAAGACUGGAGGAAUGUAGCUCCCUCGGGAGUGUUAUAGCCUCUAGUGAUGCAGCGAGCGCCGGGCGAGGUCCGCGCUUCGGCUAGGAUGCUGGCGUAAUGGUCGUAAUCCGCCCGUCUUGAAACACGGACC